This 62-nucleotide ribosomal RNA is filed under the name Exophiala dermatitidis. Its description in RNAcentral is "partial 28S ribosomal RNA". The record is from RNAcentral. Lineage: Eukaryota; Fungi; Ascomycota; Eurotiomycetes; Chaetothyriales; Herpotrichiellaceae.
GGUUGACCUCGGAUCAGGUAGGAAUACCCGCUGAACUUAAGCAUAUCAAUAAAAGCGGAGGA